Molecule: ribosomal RNA, 331 nt
Filed under: uncultured Vampirovibrio sp.
Lineage: Bacteria; Bacillati; Candidatus Melainabacteria; Vampirovibriophyceae; Vampirovibrionales; Vampirovibrionaceae
Description: bacterial SSU rRNA
Rfam family: Bacterial small subunit ribosomal RNA
Source: RNAcentral
UAGGGAAUUUUUGCGCAAUGGGGGGAAACCCUGACGCAGCAACGCCGCGUGAUUGAUGAAGCCCUUCGGGGUGUAAAGAUCUGUCAGUAGGGACGAAUAAUGACUGUACCUACAGAGGAAGCACCGGCUAACUCCGUGCCAGCAGCCGCGGUAAUACGGGGGGUGCGAGCGUUGUCCGGAAUCAUUGGGCGUAAAGAGUUCGUAGGUGGUAUGUUAAGUCUGGUGUUAAAUUCCGAAGCUCAACUUCGGUACGGCACUGGAUACUGGCAAACUUGAAUGCGGUAGAGGUAAAGGAAUUCCUGGUGUAGCGGUGAAAUGCGUAGAUAUCAGG